GCUGCCUCUAAACUACCCGUCAGGAAAAAUAAAAUCUAUAAGGUAAUCGUAGUCUAGGAGCCAUCAAUCCCCAAAUGCUUCUCUUAGAAAACGAAUGCCAACAAUUUAGCUAAACAUCUUCCUUGGAAGUGAGCCAUUUCCCAUGUCUCUCUGUUCUCCAAACCGCGAUGAAAUUUCAACCUGCCCAACACGAUUACUGGUCCACCUAGAAAUGCCGUGGAGCGAUUUAAGAGCCUCGGAAAUUUCCUUUAAGACUAGUCUCACUCUGUUGCCCAGGCUGGAGUGCAGUGGCGCGAUCUCAGCUUACUUCAGCCUCCGCCUCCCGGUUUCAAGUGAAUUCUCCAGCCUCAACUUCACAAGUAGCUGGGAUUACAGGGCAUUCAAGCAGCCCUGAGGAGAGGUCCACAUGGUGAGCCACUGAGGGCCUUGCCAAGAGCCAGCACCAACGGUCCAGGUUUGGAGUGUACCACCUUGGAAGUGAAUCUUCCAGUCCAGUCAAGCCUUCAGAUGACUUCAGAACCGUCCAUGUAAGCCACUCUUGGAUUCCUGACCCACAGAAACUGUUGGAGUAAGUGAUGUUUCUGAAGCACCAAUGAAAAUGAAGUCCUGAAGUCCUGUGCUCAAUAUGAAAUGUUGGAAGUUAGAAGAAAAAAACAAAACUUGGAUCCAAUCUCAAGGCACUUUUUGUUUAAUGGGAAGAAGUGGAUUAUUUUAAAAGCUACAAAUAAAGUUACAUAAAAGUAGCAAA
Molecule: long non-coding RNA, 748 nt
Filed under: Homo sapiens (human)
Lineage: Eukaryota; Metazoa; Chordata; Mammalia; Primates; Hominidae
Description: HSALNT0212871
Source: RNAcentral